Molecule: non-coding RNA, 147 nt
Filed under: Nomascus leucogenys (northern white-cheeked gibbon)
Lineage: Eukaryota; Metazoa; Chordata; Mammalia; Primates; Hylobatidae
Source: Rfam by way of RNAcentral
GCCGGGCGUGGUGAUGCACACCUGUAAUCCCAGCUACUUGGGAGGCUGAGGCAGGAGAAUCGCUUGAACCCAGGAGGCGGGGUUGCAGUGAGCCAAGAUCACACCACUGCCCCCUGGCCUGGGUGACAGAGCAAGACUCUGCCUCAA